AGCGAACGCUGGCGGCAGGCUUAACACAUGCAAGUCGAGCGGGCCCUUCGGGGUCAGCGGCGGACGGGUGAGUAACGCGUGGGAAUGUGCCUUCUGGUCUGGAAUAACCCUGGGAAACUAGUGCUAAUACCGGAUACGCCCUUUUGGGGAAAGGUUUACUGCCGGAAGAUCGGCCCGCGUCUGAUUAGCUAGUUGGUGGGGUAACGGCCUACCAAGGCGACGAUCAGUAGCUGGUCUGAGAGGAUGAUCAGCCACACUGGGACUGAGACACGGCCCAGACUCCUACGGGAGGCAGCAGUGGGGAAUAUUGGACAAUGGGCGCAAGCAUGAUCCAGCCAUGCCGCGUGAGUGAUGAAGGCCUUAGGGUUGUAAAGCUCUUUUAUCCGGGACGAUAAUGACGGUACCGGAGGAAUAAGCCCCGGCUAACUUCGUG
Molecule: ribosomal RNA, 433 nt
Filed under: uncultured bacterium
Lineage: Bacteria
Description: partial 16S ribosomal RNA
Rfam family: Bacterial small subunit ribosomal RNA
Source: RNAcentral